UACAGAGGGGGCUAGCGUUAUUCGGAAUUAUUGGGCGUAAAGGGCGCGUAGGCGGCCUUGCGUGUCUUUCGUGAAAUCCCUCGGCUUAACUGAGGACGUGCGGAAGAAACUGCAGGGCUUGAGUCCGGGAGAGGGGGGUGGAAUUCCCAGUGUAGCGGUGAAAUGCGUAGAUAUUGGGAGGAACACCGGUGGCGAAGGCGGCCCCCUGGACCGGUACUGACGCUGAGGCGCGAAAGCGUGGGGAGCAAACGGG
This 253-nucleotide ribosomal RNA is filed under the name uncultured bacterium. Its description in RNAcentral is "partial 16S ribosomal RNA". It matches the Rfam family "Bacterial small subunit ribosomal RNA", at positions 524 to 776 of the family's 1533-position model. The record is from RNAcentral.